Long non-coding RNA from Pectinophora gossypiella (pink bollworm), 388 nucleotides. RefSeq lists it as uncharacterized. Lineage: Eukaryota; Metazoa; Arthropoda; Insecta; Lepidoptera; Gelechiidae. The transcript has 2 exons. The record is from RefSeq and is a predicted model, not a curated record.
CAAUAUUUGACAAAUAAACAAAUGAAGUAUAAAUUAUUAAUAAAUUGAUUGAAUACAAUGCAAAUAUUAAUUUAUCGUUAUUUUAUAUGAAAUUAUAGUACAUUAUUUAAUAUUUAAGAUUAUUAAGGCAUGAAUUACAUCAUAUUUCUGCUAAACCAUUCGACUUUGGAUAAUGUGGACUUGAGGUGAUAUGUUCCACAUCCCAUUCUUUAAGAAAUUGUUUGAAAUUAUAUGAAUUGAAUGGUGGUCCACCAUCACUCAAUAAUGACAUUGGAAUACCGUGACGGGCAAAAAUUGAUUUUAAUUGAAAUACGACUUUAUCACUCCUUGUAUCAUUGUUUAAAUAUGCAAUUUCUAUAUAAUUUGAAUAAAAAUCUACUACUAUUAA